UGGGGAAUCUUCCGCAAUGGACGAAAGUCUGACGGAGCAACGCCGCGUGAGUGAUGACGGCCUUCGGGUUGUAAAGCUCUGUUAAUCGGGACGAAUGGUUCUUGUGCGAAUAGUGCGAGGAUUUGACGGUACCGGAAUAGAAAGCCACGGCUAACUACGUGCCAGCAGCCGCGGUAAUACGUAGGUGGCAAGCGUUGUCCGGAAUUAUUGGGCGUAAAGCGCGCGCAGGCGGAUUGGUCAGUCUGUCUUAAAAGUUCGGGGCUUAACCCCGUGAUGGGAUGGAAACUGCCAAUCUAGAGUAUCGGAGAGGAAAGUGGAAUUCCUAGUGUAGCGGUGAAAUGCGUAGAUAUUAGGAAGAACACCAGUGGCGAAGGCGACUUUCUGGACGAAAACUGACGCUGAGGCGCGAAAGCCAGGGGAGCGAACGGGAUUAGAUACCCCGGUAGUCCUGGCCGUAAACGAUGGGUACUAGGUGUAGGAGGUAUCGACCCCUUCUGUGCCGGAGUUAACACAAUAAGUACCCCGCCUGGGGAGUACGACCGCAAGGUUG
This 550-nucleotide ribosomal RNA is filed under the name uncultured bacterium. RNAcentral's name for it is "bacterial SSU rRNA". It matches the Rfam family "Bacterial small subunit ribosomal RNA", at positions 355 to 896 of the family's 1533-position model. The record is from RNAcentral.